AGAGUUUGAUCCUGGCUCAGGAUGAACGCUGGCGGCGUGCCUAACACAUGCAAGUCGAACGGGUGUCCGAUCUUCGGACUGGACACUUAGUGGCGGACGGGUGAGUAACGCGUGGGUAACUGCCUCAUACAGGGGGAUAGCAGUUGGAAACGACUGAUAAUACCGCAUAAGCGCACAGCACGCAUGGUGCAGUGUGAAAAACUCCGGUGGUAUGAGAUGGACCCGCGUCUGAUUAGCUUGUGGCGGGGUAACGGCCCACCAAGGCGACGAUCAGUAGCCGGCCUGAGAGGGUGAACGGCCCAUUGGGACUGAGACACGGCCCAAACUCCUACGGGAGGCAGCAGUGGGGAAUAUUGCACAUGGGGGAAACCCUGAUGCAGCGACGCCGCGUGAAGGAUGAAGUAUUUCGGUAUGUAAACUCUAUCAGCAGGGAAGAUGAUGACGGUACCUGACUAAGAAGCCCCGGCUAACUACGUGCCACAGCCGCGGUAAUACGUAGGGGGCAAGCGUUAUCCGGAUUUACUGGGUGUAAAGGGAGCGAGGCGGCGGGACAAGUCAGAAGUGAAAUCCCCGGGCUCACCCCGGGGGCUGCUUUUGAAAUGUUCUGCUAGAUUCCAGGAGAGGUAAGCGGAAUUCCUAGUGUAGCGGUGAAAUGCGUAGUAUUAGGAGGAACACCAGUGGCGA
This 684-nucleotide ribosomal RNA is filed under the name uncultured bacterium. RNAcentral describes it as "bacterial SSU rRNA". It matches the Rfam family "Bacterial small subunit ribosomal RNA", at positions 8 to 718 of the family's 1533-position model. The record is from RNAcentral.